AUACUUACCUGGCAGAGAGAUACCAUGAUCACAAAAGUGGUUUUCCCAGGGCGAGGCUUACGCAUUGCAUUCCAGAUGUGCCUACCCCUGUGAUUUCUCCAAAUGUGGGAAACUUGACUGCAUAAUUUGUGGUAGUGGGCGACUGUGUUCACACUCUCACCUG
This is a small nuclear RNA of Cynocephalus volans (Philippine flying lemur), 163 nucleotides long. RefSeq annotates it as U1 spliceosomal RNA. The record is from RefSeq and is a predicted model, not a curated record. The transcript has a single exon. NCBI's taxonomy places the organism in Eukaryota, Metazoa, Chordata, Mammalia, Dermoptera, Cynocephalidae.